UCCUCCGUAGCUCAAUUGGCAGAGCAUUCGGCUGUUAACCGAAGGGUUGCUGGUUCGAGUCCAGCCGGGGGAGCAA
RNAcentral lists this transfer RNA (76 nucleotides) under Saccharomonospora glauca K62. RNAcentral describes it as "tRNA-Asn". It matches the Rfam family "tRNA". Rfam says of the family: Transfer RNA (tRNA) molecules are approximately 80 nucleotides in length. Their secondary structure includes four short double-helical elements and three loops (D, anti-codon, and T loops). Further hydrogen bonds mediate the characteristic L-shaped molecular structure. tRNAs have two regions of fundamental functional importance: the anti-codon, which is responsible for specific mRNA codon recognition, and the 3' end, to which the tRNAs corresponding amino acid is attached (by aminoacyl-tRNA synthetases). tRNAs cope with the degeneracy of the genetic code in two manners: having more than one tRNA (with a specific anti-codon) for a particular amino acid; and 'wobble' base-pairing, i.e. permitting non-standard base-pairing at the 3rd anti-codon position. Lineage: Bacteria; Bacillati; Actinomycetota; Actinomycetes; Pseudonocardiales; Pseudonocardiaceae. The record is from RNAcentral.